GAGGGUGUAGCUUAGUGGUAGAGCACAUGCUUAGCAUGCACAAGGUCCUGGCUUCAAUUCCCUGUACCUCUA
RNAcentral lists this transfer RNA (72 nucleotides) under Camelus bactrianus (Bactrian camel). It matches the Rfam family "tRNA". Rfam says of the family: Transfer RNA (tRNA) molecules are approximately 80 nucleotides in length. Their secondary structure includes four short double-helical elements and three loops (D, anti-codon, and T loops). RNAcentral also lists the same sequence under 1 other name. Lineage: Eukaryota; Metazoa; Chordata; Mammalia; Artiodactyla; Camelidae. The record is from Rfam by way of RNAcentral.